Molecule: unclassified non-coding RNA, 155 nt
Filed under: soil metagenome
Description: partial internal transcribed spacer 1
Source: RNAcentral
CAGAGUUUACAAACUCCCAAACCCCUUGUGAACAUACCUAUAGUUGCUUCGGCGGAUCCGCCCGGCGCCUCAGGGCCCGGAUCAGGCGCCCGCCGGAGGACCCCAAACUCUUGUAUUUCUUUAGUCAUCUCUGAGUAACUUAAGCAAAUAAAUUA